GUUUUAUACUUGACCAGAAGGACAGGGAAUGAGGAUCCCCACAACUCAGGAUUCUUCCCCAGGAGAUGCUCUCAGCCCAGGAUUAAAGCCAAAGGGAAGAUAUAGAGGGGUGGAGAACAGGUAGGGGAUCUGUUCCUGAUCUUCCCGAGAGCACAUCUGUCUGAGAGACCCCAUAUCCAACCUUCCUCUUGGACCUAAUGCAUUUGCUAGACAGCAGCUAGGAUCAGUCCUAGCAGAGUGAGACUUUUGGGCAGGUUGUCCACAGCUCAUUCAGUUGAAUGAGCAGGAGGGUUCCCAAACACAGUAGGAAUGGCUUGCCACAUUUUGAAGUAAAUACACCCAGUGAAGUAAUAGCCAACUAUCAGACUCCCUUUUAGGGAGAGUCCUCUGAUUCCCAGUACAUUUGCUUAUUUCAGAGCCCAACAGGCAGGACCCUAAGUCCUGAAAGGUGUUGAGAAGGACACUUCUUUUUACCGGAUUCCUGUUGGCUAUUUUAUAAAAUGUUUUUAGAAGCCAGUGUGGUGUAGUGGUUAAGAGCGGUGGACUCAUAAUCUGGUGAACCAGGUUUGCUUCCCCACUCCUCCACAUGCAGUUGCUGGGUGACCUUGGGCUAGUCACACUUCUCUGAAGUCUCUCAGCCCCACUCGCCUCACAGAGUGUUUGUUGUGGGGGAGGAAGGGAAAGGAGAUUGUUAGCCGCUUUGAGACUACUUAGGGUAGUAUCAAAUCCAAACAACUCUUCUUCUUCUUCUUCACCAAGACUUGCCACCUGGCUUCCAACCCAGAAUCCCUUUGGUCUCUGUGGGUCUACUCCAUUCUUCCUAUUCCUCCUUUCCCUUUGGUUCCUUACUUGCCACUUUCCCUAACAGAUGUACGGAGCUGCCCCCAACAUUGGGUGGGGAGUGUCGCACGUGCAUGAUGCCACAGGUGUGCACCCUCUCAAUCUGGCUGGGACAACCCGGCCCCCCACCCAACCCCCACUGCCGGCCGCCUUACCUUCUUAAAAGGGACGCACCAGUGCAAACACGCUUUGCCCUGGUGUGUUGUUUGGAGGAUUGCCACAGAAUUGGGGGGGCUGGGUCCAUCCUGAAAAAUAUUGGGGAUGACUCCCCUGUUACUUAAGCACUGGCCAUGCUGGCUGGGGCUGACCGGAAAUGGAGUCCAACAUCUAAAGCGCCAUAGAUUCCCCACCCAUCAGCUUAGGGCACAUCCAUGCUCAGCGUGUAGACAGGUUUAACAAUACAGUGGUGCCUCACAAGACGAAUGCCUCGCAAGACGAAAAACGCGCAAGAUGAAAGAGUUUUCCGUUUUUUGAGUUGUUCCGCAAGACGAAUUUCCCUAUGGGCUUGCUUCGCAAGAUGAAACGUCUUGCGAGUUCUUGCGAGUUUGUUUCCUUUUUCUUAAAGCCGCUAAGCCGCUAAGCCGUUAAUAGCCGUUAAGCCACUAAUAGCCGUGCUUCGCAAGACGAAAAAACCGCAAGACGAAGAGACUCGCGGAACGGAUUAAUUUCGUCUUGCGAGGCACCACUGUAAUUCCCUUUCCCCAAGGAAACUGGGAACUGUAGUCCUGCGAAGGGGAGCUGGGGUUGGUAACAUAGGACUAUCAACAUCUCACCGCAUUGUAAUUCCCAGGAAUCUUUGAGGGAAGCUAUGACAGUAAAGCUAAAUAUAAAACCCAAUAUAAGCUUGUAGAUAGGGCAGGAUCUCCCUUUCUCUCCCUCUCUUGUUGUGAGAUUUAUUGAAUCAAUUGGAUAAUUUAAUGACUGUGUGCAGCUAGGCAUUGCUGUUUAACGAUAGUAAAUUAGAUUAUAAAAAACCCCUCCAAGAAUCAAUUUGGACUGUAUUUUAAUGAUCGGCUGCAUUCCCCCCCCCUUUUUGUAUGGGGAAUGAUAAUUUGUUGUUUUUUGCUAUGAUUCUGUCUUGACUAUUUCUUAAGUUGUAAAAUGUCAAAGUCUUUAUCAAUAAAAAAAAAUAAUGUAUGAGAGGGAGACAUUAAUGCUUAAUACUCAAAACUCGUAUGCAGGCUAGAUCCAGUUAGGGGCUUCAGUCUGACACAAGUUUGCUGUCAUAGGAAGCUGCCAUGCACUUGAACCUUGGUUCUCUGGGAUUUCAGGCGGGAUUUUCCCAACCCUACCUGAAGAGGAGGGAGAUUGAACCAGGAGCCUUCUGCAAGCAAAGUUACUGAUGUCUGAAGAGGACAAUGCAGAAUCAAAACUCUUAUUAUAUAUUUCUUGGUGGUGGCCAGAUGGACUAUUGCCCACGGGUGGAUAAAAACAUUGAACUUUUCCCCUUAACAUCUGGUUUAAUAAGGCCCUGAAUAUUGCAGUUUCCGAAAAAAAUGACUCAUUUGAUGCAUGUUUCACAAGGCGCCACUAAGUCAAUGAAUUCUGUUGCUACAUGGAGGAUGUUGUUGAUGUAUCUUAAAAAACAAACUUAUGGCUGGUGCUUUCCCACUGAAUUUGAUUACAAUGGUACUAAUUGCAUAUGACUAUACAGUACCUUACUAUCGGCCUUCUUUGUUUCCACAAAAAUAAUAUUCCCAUUUUCUUGACUGAUCCUAGAUUGAACCUUUCUAUGUUCCCGAGUAAUAUCUAAUUAUGCGUCAUGGAUCUAUAAUGGUUCUUUGCUUUGUUGGAUUGUAUAAUGUUUUGAUUACUCAUGGGUUCAUGGAAUCAUAGAGUUGGAAGGGAACUCCAGGGGUCAUCGAGUCCAACCCCCUGCAAUGCAGGAAUCUCAGCUCAAGCAUCCAUGACAGAUGGCCAUCCAACCUCUGCUUUAAAACCUUGAAUGAAGGAGAGUCCACAGCCUCAUGAGGGAGACCCUUUCACUGUCAAACAGCUCUUUAUGACAGUUCUUCCUGAUGUUUAGUCGGAAUCUCCUGUCUUGUAACUUGAAGGCAGUGGUUCGAGUCCUCCCCUCUAGAGCAGGAGAAAACAAGCUUGUUCCUUCUUCCAUGUGACAGCCCUGAAAUAGUUGCAGAUGGCUAUCCUAUCUCCUCCCAGUCUCUUCUUUUCCAGGCUAAACAUAACCAACUCCCUCAACCGUUCCUCAUAAGGCUUGGUUCCCAAACCCAUGCUAGAACUGAAAUAUUAAAUUGCUAUUUCCCAAUAAAAUGGUGCUGUGGCACUUCUGGGAAGCUUGAGUGGUGCCUCUGAGGUCAAUGUGUUUAUACUGUACGUAAAAUGGGUUUGCUUCAGACUGUCAAUCACAUUUAAUUCCUAUUGAAAUCAACUGAGCCAAAGUUGGUCAUGACUAAUUCCACAAAGCUUAUGACAUAAUAAAUGUUGUCCUUGAAGG
RNAcentral lists this long non-coding RNA (3295 nucleotides) under Podarcis lilfordi (Lilford's wall lizard). Lineage: Eukaryota; Metazoa; Chordata; Lepidosauria; Squamata; Lacertidae. The record is from RNAcentral.